This 509-nucleotide ribosomal RNA is filed under the name uncultured bacterium. RNAcentral describes it as "bacterial SSU rRNA". It matches the Rfam family "Bacterial small subunit ribosomal RNA", at positions 791 to 1300 of the family's 1533-position model. The record is from RNAcentral.
UAGUCCACACAGUAAACGAUGGAUACUAGGUGUUGGAUGGUAACGUUCAGCGCCGGAGCAAACGCAUUAAGUAUCCCGCCUGGGGAGUACGAUCGCAAGAUUGAAACUCAAAGGAAUUGACGGGGGCUCACACAAGCGGUGGAGGAUGUGGCUUAAUUCGAGGCUACGCGAAGAACCUUACCUAGACUUAACAUGCUUGGGAACGUCUGUGAAAGCAGAAAGUGCCUUUCGGGGAACCCUUGCGUAGGUGCUGCAUGGCUGUCGUCAGCUCGUGUCGUGAGAUGUCGGGUUAAGUCCCUUAACGAGCGAAACCCUUGUCUUCAGUUGCCAGCGGGUCAAGCCGGGGACUCUAAUGAAACUGCCACCGUAAGGUGAGAGGAAGGUGGGGAUGACGUCAAAUCAGCACGGCCCUUAUGUCCAGGGCUACACACGUGUUACAAUGGUCGAUACAGAGGGCAGCUACCUGGUGACAGGAUGCAAAUCUCUAAAGUCGGUCCAAGUUCGGAUCG